UACGGGGGGGGGCAAGCGUUGUUCGGAAUUACUGGGCGUAAAGGGCUCGUAGGCGGCCAACUAAGUCGGACGUGAAAUCCCUCGGCUCAACCGGGGAACUGCGUCCGAUACUGGAUGGCUUGAAUCCGGGAGAGGGAUGCGGAAUUCCAGGUGUAGCGGUGAAAUGCGUAGAUAUCUGGAGGAACACCGGUGGCGAAGGCGGUUCUCUGGGCCGUAACUGACGCUGAGGAGCGAAAGCAUGGGGAGCGAACAGG
RNAcentral lists this ribosomal RNA (254 nucleotides) under uncultured bacterium. RNAcentral describes it as "partial 16S ribosomal RNA". It matches the Rfam family "Bacterial small subunit ribosomal RNA", at positions 524 to 776 of the family's 1533-position model. The record is from RNAcentral.